GUGCCAGCCGCCGCGGUAAGACGAACCGUGCAAACGUUGUUCGGAAUCACUGGGCUUAAAGGGCGCGUAGGCGGUUUGCCAAGUCAGGGGUGAAAUCCUGCAGCUCAACUGUAGAAGUGCCUUUGAUACUGGCGAACUCGAGGGAGGUAGGGGUGGGUGGAACUUCUGGUGGAGCGGUGAAAUGCGUUGAUAUCAGAAGGAACGCCGGUGGCGAAAGCGACCCACUGGAUCUCUACUGACGCUGAGGCGCGAAAGCCAGGGGAGCGAACGGGAUUAGAAACCCGCGUAGUCC
This 292-nucleotide ribosomal RNA is filed under the name uncultured bacterium. Its description in RNAcentral is "partial 16S ribosomal RNA". It matches the Rfam family "Bacterial small subunit ribosomal RNA", at positions 505 to 796 of the family's 1533-position model. The record is from RNAcentral.